GUAAGUCAGCUGUGACCCUGAGGAUGGGUGAGGAAGGGCAUUGCACCUUUUGCCUCUACAGUGGAUAUGGUGUUUUGCAUUCAUCAAGCCUAAGCAAACUUUUUCAUAAAGUUAGACUAUAUGGAGAGAGGAGUUUUAAAGGACCAUAUUGCGACUGAAACAAGGCAUAACAGGUCUUUGACUGGCUAUCCUGUGGAUGUGGACUCAGGCUAGCCUGCGCAAAGUGAAAGACAGGCAAUUAGAUUGAAAAAUACCUGUGAUUCAAAGAAGUCACAAGUCACAGAGACAAACUUUUCCCAGUGUGUUCGAGUCAGAGAACCUUUGCAAAGACCAACAGGCUAAAAGAGAAAAUACAAUGUCAUAUGGAGAAGCUUUGAGAACACUAUGCUAAGUGAAAGAAGCCAGAUACAAAAGACCAUAUGCUGUAUGAUUCUAUUUAUAUGAAAUGUCCAGAAUAGGCAAAGCCAUAGAAACAGAAAGUAGGACACAGCUAGAAUAUGUUUCCAAGCCUCCCCAACACGUGUGACUGUGUAUAAUUGAGUUCUAACCACAGGAAGCUUGAUGCAGAUGAGCAGGUAACCAUGGAAGUCGUGAGCUGAGGCUGCAGAGUCUAGAGCCAGAGUGUGGAAUAAACUUGGGUCUCAAAUCACCCCUGGAGCAAAGCACCCAUCUAAUCAGGAACUUCUACUUUCAACUUUACAUGCGUGAGAAAUGAACUUCUAUCAUGUUAGAGAAAUCCUUACACGGCGCCCUUGAGAGCUUUCAUACUGCAAGUCAUCCAUUUUCCUCCCCUCAAACCUGGCAUCGGAGUUUAUUGAAAC
Molecule: long non-coding RNA, 821 nt
Filed under: Homo sapiens (human)
Lineage: Eukaryota; Metazoa; Chordata; Mammalia; Primates; Hominidae
Description: HRG and FETUB antisense RNA 1
Source: RNAcentral